Molecule: long non-coding RNA, 1476 nt
Organism: Homo sapiens (human)
Lineage: Eukaryota; Metazoa; Chordata; Mammalia; Primates; Hominidae
Gene: TMEM263-DT
Product: TMEM263 divergent transcript
Source: Ensembl
AGGCCCGGUGUUUUGACGUCGGCGGUGCCCGCGUUCCGCGCCGAGUAACGGUCUUCGGAAUUCAGAGCCUUCGCCUUAGGGAAGGUGGGACGGUCGCCAGUUUCUCCAGCACUUUCUUCGUCCAGGGACGUCAACCUCCCUUGCAUGCUGUCCUCAGGGACUGACAGCGGGGCCUGCUCAGAAGUUCUCGUCGGGACUCUCUACAGGCCUUUGUGAUUAAGUGCUAGGGGUGAGGAGAGACGUGGCUUAUUUAUGUGUUUUUCAGUUUGUUAUGAUUUUUUUUUUUUUAAUUUUACUUCUCCCUGCCCUAGAAUUGAGCUCCUUGAGAGUAAAAACCCGCCUGGGUCGCCAUCACCCUAGGCUUGGUGCAGGGCCUGCCAGGCGCUCGAAUUUGUUGAAGAGGUGGGUGUUCAGUAUCGAAAGAGCCGCGGAUUGUACAUUAGAAAGCCUGGCUUUGCGCCGCGUCCUUGCCACUUGCUGACCAGGCCCCUCCACGUGGUCCCCGCCGGGGCAGCAGCUCUCCUCACCCGUCCAAAGGCACGGGGAGGCGCGUGGCGGCCCCGCCAGAGCUGAGCCCCCUGGGAUGUGAGGCCGUCUCGCUCUGAGCUUCAGAGCAGGGUUGCAGGAGACACCUCAGAAGGUCGUUUUGAGGACGGGAGGAGAUGAACUGCUCAAAGCCUGCUUAACUAGAUAAAUGGUAUCGAUUAACUUUUCUUUGACUCCCUUUCCACACCUAUAAAAUGAAGAUGACGGGAAACUUGUCAUACUUUUUUUGUGGUGGGUGGGAAAGGUCUUUAUGAACUGUGAAGUCCUAUGCAAACGUGAGAUGUUUCCUUUCGCAAUCUGAUUAGCGAAGCAAAAACACGCGAGUCAAAAACAUACACAGAAAGCAAAAAAAAAAAAUUCACAAAAUGGUUUAUCAACUGCAGAAUAUUCAGGAUGGUGGAACUGAAUGGUAACUACUGACAACAUAGCUCAGAAAGGACGUGCUAAAACAUGCUGGAUGAAGCUAACUUUGAUCCAGGUCUUAAAUGGAAUGGACUAUAGUUUAUAGCUUCAACCUAAUCAUUAACUUAUGAAAUCAGAGAAUUAAGGCCACUUAAGCCACUGUGCUCAGACUGUCAAGAUAUUUAGUUUCUCAAAGCAGAAAGAGGAAAUUAAAUACUCUUGUCAAUUCAACAUAUGGGUUGGAUGAUUAGCAGGAUCCGUGGAUUGUUGUUUAUCCAGUAUGUGAAGAAACGGAUAUCCUCUGUUUUCUCGUUAUUACACAAACUUCUAUCCUUAAUAUGUGACCUUUCAAGGUUGAACUCUAGGUAAAAUUAUGAAGUGCACAAUUACGUCUUGUUUCUUCUUCCCUUUGCACGUCGUUUUACAAGAGAAUCUAAUUAUUAUUAAAGUACAAAUGACUGACAAGAUUGUAGCCACUCCUGGGAGAUUUUGCAUUUUUACGGUUAUUAAAAGCCAUAACUCAAAGCA